GAGUUCUGAUUAUUGAAAGGUGCUUGCAUCUUGAUUUAAUUUUGAACGAGUGGCGGACGGGUGAGUAACACGUGGGUAACCUGCCCUUAAGUGGGGGAUAACAUUUGGAAACAGAUGCUAAUACCGCAUAAAUCCAAGAACCGCAUGGUUCUUGGCUGAAAGAUGGCGUAAGCUAUCGCUUUUGGAUGGACCCGCGGCGUAUUAGCUAGUUGGUGAGGUAACGGCUCACCAAGGCAAUGAUACGUAGCCGAACUGAGAGGUUGAUCGGCCACAUUGGGACUGAGACACGGCCCAAACUCCUACGGGAGGCAGCAGUAGGGAAUCUUCCACAAUGGACGCAAGUCUGAUGGAGCAACGCCGCGUGAGUGAAGAAGGCUUUCGGGUCGUAAAACUCUGUUGUUGGAGAAGAAUGGUCGGCAGAGUAACUGUUGUCGGCGUGACGGUAUCCAACCAGAAAGCCACGGCUAACUACGUGCCAGCAGCCGCGGUAAUACGUAGGUGGCAAGCGUUAUCCGGAUUUAUUGGGCGUAAAGCGAGCGCAGGCGGUUUUUUAAGUCUGAUGUGAAAGCCCUCGGCUUAACCGAGGAAGUGCAUCGGAAACUGGGAAACUUGAGUGCAGAAGAGGACAGUGGAACUCCAUGUGUAGCGGUGAAAUGCGUAGAUAUAUGGAAGAACACCAGUGGCGAAGGCGGCUGUCUGGUCUGUAACUGACGCUGAGGCUCGAAAGCAUGGGUAGCGAACAGGAUUAGAUACCCUGGUAGUCCAUGCCGUAAACGAUGAAUGCUAGGUGUUGGAGGGUUUCCGCCCUUCAGUGCCGCAGCUAACGCAUUAAGCAUUCCGCCUGGGGAGUACGACCGCAAGGUUGAAACUCAAAGGAAUUGACGGGGGCCCGCACAAGCGGUGGAGCAUGUGGUUUAAUUCGAAGCAACGCGAAGAACCUUACCAGGUCUUGACAUCUUUUGAUCACCUGAGAGAUCAGGUUUCCCCUUCGGGGGCAAAAUGACAGGUGGUGCAUGGUUGUCGUCAGCUCGUGUCGUGAGAUGUUGGGUUAAGUCCCGCAACGAGCGCAACCCUUAUGACUAGUUGCCAGCAUUUAGUUGGGCACUCUAGUAAGACUGCCGGUGACAAACCGGAGGAAGGUGGGGAUGACGUCAAAUCAUCAUGCCCCUUAUGACCUGGGCUACACACGUGCUACAAUGGAUGGUACAACGAGUUGCGAGACCGCGAGGUCAAGCUAAUCUCUUAAAGCCAUUCUCAGUUCGGACUGUAGGCUGCAACUCGCCUACACGAAGUCGGAAUCGCUAGUAAUCGCGGAUCAGCACGCCGCGGUGAAUACGUUCCCGGGCCUUGUACACACCGCCCGUCACACCAUGAGAGUUUGUAACACCCGAAGCCGGUGGCGUAACCC
This 1408-nucleotide ribosomal RNA is filed under the name Lacticaseibacillus rhamnosus. Its description in RNAcentral is "bacterial SSU rRNA". It matches the Rfam family "Bacterial small subunit ribosomal RNA". The record is from RNAcentral. Lineage: Bacteria; Bacillati; Bacillota; Bacilli; Lactobacillales; Lactobacillaceae.